Molecule: long non-coding RNA, 276 nt
Organism: Carassius auratus (goldfish)
Lineage: Eukaryota; Metazoa; Chordata; Actinopteri; Cypriniformes; Cyprinidae
Exons: 4
Source: RefSeq, a predicted model, not a curated record
CCCUGACAUCAAAACAUGGCUUGUUUUGUUCCUGGACUCUUCAGUGAUGAUGAGCAGAGUCUGAGUGAACCUGCUGUCAGACAAUCACUAUUGCACACCAAAUGCUCUUACUCAGCAGAUGGGGACAGCUACCAUCACCCAAUUUUCACCCAAAAGUGGCUGCGCUAUUCGCCAGACUGGGCAGGAGGGACUGGACGACAACUUAUGCAGGCAUCAGAUGACAAUGAAAUGUAAAUAAAGAGUAGAGAAGCUAAUAAACAUGAAUUUGAUUUUAAA